RNAcentral lists this ribosomal RNA (725 nucleotides) under uncultured Staphylococcus sp. Its description in RNAcentral is "bacterial SSU rRNA". It matches the Rfam family "Bacterial small subunit ribosomal RNA", at positions 51 to 758 of the family's 1533-position model. Lineage: Bacteria; Bacillati; Bacillota; Bacilli; Caryophanales; Staphylococcaceae. The record is from RNAcentral.
AUACAUGCAAGUCGAGCGAACGGACGAGAAGCUUGCUUCUCUGAUGUUAGCGGCGGACGGGUGAGUAACACGUGGAUAACCUACCUAUAAGACUGGGAUAACUUCGGGAAACCGGAGCUAAUACCGGAUAAUAUUUUGAACCGCAUGGUUCAAAAGUGAAAGACGGUCUUGCUGUCACUUAUAGAUGGAUCCGCGCUGCAUUAGCUAGUUGGUAAGGUAACGGCUUACCAAGGCAACGAUGCACAGCCGACCUGAGAGGGUGAUCGGCCACACUGGAACUGAGACACGGUCCAGACUCCUACGGGAGGCAGCAAUAGGGAAUCUUCCGCAAUGGGCGAAAGCCUGACGGAGCAACGCCGCGUGAGUGAUGAAGGUCUUCGGAUCGUAAAACUCUGUUAUUAGGGAAGAACAUAUGUGUAAGUAACUGUGCACAUCUUGACGGUACCUAAUCAGAAAGCCACGGCUAACUACGUGCCAGCAGCCGCGGUAAUACGUAGGUGGCAAGCGUUAUCCGGAAUUAUUGGGCGUAAAGCGCGCGUAGGCGGUUUUUUAAGUCUGAUGUGAAAGCCCACGGCUCAACCGUGGAGGGUCAUUGGAAACUGGAAAACUUGAGUGCAGAAGAGGAAAGUGGAAUUCCAUGUGUAGCGGUGAAAUGCGCAGAGAUAUGGAGGAACACCAGUGGCGAAGGCGACUUUCUGGUCUGUAACUGACGCUGAUGUGCGAAA